Molecule: ribosomal RNA, 995 nt
Filed under: Eulimnadia diversa
Lineage: Eukaryota; Metazoa; Arthropoda; Branchiopoda; Diplostraca; Limnadiidae
Description: eukaryotic LSU rRNA
Rfam family: Eukaryotic large subunit ribosomal RNA
Source: RNAcentral
ACUAACAAGGAUUCCCCUAGUAGCGGCGAGCGAGAGGGAAAAGCCCAGCACCGAACCUCGCGCCCUCGGGUGUCGCGGAAUGUGGUGUUCAGGAGGACCGUGCGCGUCUGUCCGGUAUCGUCCAAGUCUCCAUGAAUGGGGCCAGCAACCCAGAGAGGGUGUCAGGCCCGUGGUGACGAGCCGCGACCGUGCAUUGGGUCUCUCCUUAGAGUCGGGUUGCUUGAGAGUGCAGCCCUAAGCGGGAGGUAAACUCCUUCUAAGGCUAAAUACGGCCACGAGACCGAUAGCAAACAAGUACCGCGAGGAAAGUUGAAAAGAACUUUGAAGAGAGAGUUCAAGAGUGCGUGAAACCGUUCAGGGGGUUAAACGGGUGGGCCCUCGAAGGUCGAACGGUCCCCAUCACGGCUCUCGCGGGCCGGUCCGUGACGCGCGUGAUUCCUCUCGGAACACCGCGUCGCGGUUCUCCGGUUCGCGGGGGCUGUUAGCUGGGGGCCCAGUAGGACUCCGCAACCGGCUGGCGGGCCGUCAGAAGGGUUCUGGAGGAAGCCUCCUCGCGGGGUGGAUUCCGGGAUUUCCGGACGGUCCCGUCGGCCGUGAACCUAAAUUUCUCCCUUCACGGGGAGAAUAUAGCGGAGAGUAGUGUCGGGUCCCACCCGACCCGUCUUGAAACACGGACCAAGGAGUCUAACAUGUGCGCGAGUCGUCGGGUACUACAAAACCCGAAGGCGCAAUGAAAGUGAAGGCCGCCCUCGUUGGCGGCUGAGGGGAGAUCCCGUUCUGCUCCGGUAGCUCGGGCGCAUCCCCGGGCGUCGAAGCCGCGUUGCCGGCUAGACGCACCAAGAGCGUACACGUUGGGACCCGAAAGAUGGUGACCUAUGCCUGACCAGGACGAAGCCAGGGGAAACCCUGGUGGAGGUCCGCAGCGAUUCUGACGUGCAAAUCGAUCGUCUGAGUUGGGUAUAGGGGCGAAAGACUAAUCGAACCAUCUAGUAGCU